GACGAACGCUGGCGGCGUGCCUAAUACAUGCAAGUUGAGCAAUGAAGAUUGGUGCUUGCACCAAUUUGAAGAGCAGCGAACGGGUGAGUAACGCGUGGGGAAUCUGCCUUUGAGCGGGGGACAACAUUUGGAAACGAAUGCUAAUACCGCAUAACAACUUUAAACAUAAGUUUUAAGUUUGAAAGAUGCAAUUGCAUCACUCAAAGAUGAUCCCGCGUUGUAUUAGCUAGUUGGUGAGGUAAAGGCUCACCAAGGCGAUGAUACAUAGCCGACCUGAGAGGGUGAUCGGCCACAUUGGGACUGAGACACGGCCCAAACUCCUACGGGAGGCAGCAGUAGGGAAUCUUCGGCAAUGGACGAAAGUCUGACCGAGCAACGCCGCGUGAGUGAAGAAGGUUGUCGGAUCGUAAAACUCUGUUGGUAGAGAAGAACGUUGGUGAGAGUGGAAAGCUCAUCAAGUGACGGUAACUACCCAGAAAGGGACGGCUAACUACGUG
RNAcentral lists this ribosomal RNA (497 nucleotides) under uncultured bacterium. Its description in RNAcentral is "partial 16S ribosomal RNA". It matches the Rfam family "Bacterial small subunit ribosomal RNA", at positions 28 to 507 of the family's 1533-position model. The record is from RNAcentral.